Molecule: ribosomal RNA, 331 nt
Filed under: uncultured eukaryote
Lineage: Eukaryota
Description: partial 18S ribosomal RNA
Rfam family: Eukaryotic small subunit ribosomal RNA
Source: RNAcentral
CCCUUCGACGUCUGGGGCCGCACGCGCGCUACACUGACGAAGUCAGCGAGCAUGUCCUACGCCGACAGGUGCGGGGAAUCUUGUCAAACUUCGUCGUGAUGGGGAUUGAUUAUUGAAAUUCUUGAUCAUCAACGAGGAAUUCCUAGUAAGCGCAAGUCAGCAGCUUGCGUUGAUUACGUCCCUGCCCUUUGUACACACCGCCCGUCGCUACUACCGAUUGAAUGGUUUAGUGAGAUCUUCGGAUUGGCGCCACUGCGGCUCAGCAAUGGGCUCGGUGGAUGCCGAAAAGUUGAUCAAACUUGAUCAUUUAGAGGAAGUAAAAGUCGUAACA